This 1387-nucleotide ribosomal RNA is filed under the name uncultured bacterium. RNAcentral's name for it is "bacterial SSU rRNA". It matches the Rfam family "Bacterial small subunit ribosomal RNA". The record is from RNAcentral.
AGAGUUUGAUCCUGGCUCAGGAUGAACGCUGGCGGUGUGCCUAAUACAUGCAAGUUGAGCGGGGCUCCAGCAAUGGAGCCUAGCAGCGGACGGGUGAGUAACACGUAGGUAACCUGCCUUUAAGCCUGGAAUACCCGAGAGAAAUCUCGGCUAAUGCCGGAUAUGUGAUUGAGAGGCAUCUCUCAGUCAUGAAAGGGGCAAUUGCUCCACUUUUAGAUGGACCUGCGGCGCAUUAGUUAGUUGGUGAGAUAACAGCCCACCAAGACGAGGAUGCGUAGCCGACCUGAGAGGGUGAUCGGCCACAAUGGAACUGAGACACGGUCCAUACUCCUACGGGAGGCAGCAGUAGGGAGUUUUCGGCAAUGGGGGAAACCCUGACCGAGCAACACCGCGUGAGUGAUGAAGGUCUUCGGAUUGUAAAACUCUGUUGUGUGGAAAAAAUGAUAGGUAGAGUGGAAAACUACUUAUUUGAUGGUACCACACCAGAAAGCCACGGCUAACUACGUGCCAGCAGCCGCGGUAAUACGUAGGUGGCAAGCGUUAUCCGGAAUUAUUGGGCGUAAAGAGUGAGCAGGCGGUUAUUUAAGUCUGAAGUCAAAUGCUAUGGCUUAACCAUAGUACGCUUUGGAAACUGGGUAACUAGAGUGCGAGAGAGGUAAGCGGAAUUCCAUGUGUAGCGGUGAAAUGCGUAGAUAUAUGGAGGAACACCAGUGGCGAAGGCGGCUUACUAGCUCGUAACUGACGCUCAGUCACGAAAGCGUGGGUAGCAAAUAGGAUUAGAUACCCUAGUAGUCCACGCCGUAAACGUUGAGAGCUAAGUGUCGGGGUAACCCAGUGCUGAAGUUAACACAUUAAGCUCUCCGCCUGGGAAGUACGCUCGCAAGAGUGAAACUUAAAGGAAUUGACGGGGGCCCGCACAAGCGGUGGAUUAUGUGGUUUAAUUCGAAGCAACGCGAAGAACCUUACCAGGGUUUGACAUCCUGCUAACGAAGUAGAGAUACAUUAGGUGCCCUUCGGGGAAAGCAGAGACAGGUGGUGCAUGGUUGUCGUCAGCUCGUGUCGUGAGAUGUUGGGUUAAGUCCCGCAACGAGCGCAACCCCUAUUGUUAGUUGCUACGCAAGAGCACUCUAGCGAGACUGCCGUUGACAAAACGGAGGAAGGUGGGGACGACGUCAAAUCAUCAUGCCCCUUAUAUCCUGGGCUACACACGUAAUACAAUGGCGGUCAACAGAGGGAGGCAAAGCCGUAAGGCAGAGCGAACCCCUAAAAGCCGUCCCAGUUCGGAUCGUGGGCUGCAACCCGCCCACGUGAAGUCGGAAUCGCUAGUAAUCGCGGAUCAGCAUGCCGCGGUGAAUACGUUCCCGGGCUUUGCACACACCGCCCGUCA